CCUACGGGAGGCAGCAGUGGGGAAUAUUGGACAAUGGUCAAAAGCCUGAUCCAGCCAUGCCGCGUGUGUGAAGAAGGUCUUCGGAUUGUAAAGCACUUUAAGUUGGGAGGAAGGGUUGUAGAUUAAUACUCUGCAAUUUUGACGUUACCGACAGAAUAAGCACCGGCUAACUCUGUGCCAGCAGCCGCGGUAAU
RNAcentral lists this ribosomal RNA (194 nucleotides) under uncultured soil bacterium. RNAcentral's name for it is "partial 16S ribosomal RNA". It matches the Rfam family "Bacterial small subunit ribosomal RNA", at positions 338 to 524 of the family's 1533-position model. The record is from RNAcentral.